Tympanuchus pallidicinctus (lesser prairie-chicken) is the source of this 351-nucleotide long non-coding RNA. RefSeq lists it as uncharacterized. The record is from RefSeq and is a predicted model, not a curated record. Lineage: Eukaryota; Metazoa; Chordata; Aves; Galliformes; Phasianidae. The transcript has 3 exons.
GCAGCAAGCUGUGUGGUCUGCUCUCCUGGCCCCAACAGCCCGUCUGCAGCACUGGCAGAAGUGAGCCCAGGAGAUCUCAAAUCCCAGCUCAAAGACAACCCAUUCCCUAUGGGACUGGAGUCUGGUCCUGGGCAUCUGAGGAAGAAAUGCUUGACAGUAGUCAGUGGAGAAGUUAAGGUUUUAGGAGAUGGGGGCUGUGAGAUUUCCAGGAGCUGUGGGUGGGAUGGCCAGCUGCUUCCUCUUCCUGCUGAUCUUCUCCAAGUGACCUCUGAAGGAUCUGAAGCAUUAUCCCAGAGGUAGGUGUGAGGCUAUGCUUGCAGGUGCAGCGUUUCUCAUACCCUGUAUUUUUCC